GCUAGAGUAUGAUAGAGGAAAGUAGAAUUUCUAGUGUAGAGGUGAAAUUCGUAGAUAUUAGAAAGAAUACCAAUUGCGAAGGCAGCUUUCUGGAUCAUUACUGACACUGAGGAACGAAAGCAUGGGUAGCGAAGAGGAUUAGAUACCCUCGUAGUCCAUGCCGUAAACGAUGUGUGUUAGACGUUGGAAAUUUAUUUUCAGUGUCGCAGCGAAAGCGAUAAACACACCGCCUGGGGAGUACGACCGCAAGGUUAAAACUCAAAUGAAUUGACGGGGACCCGCACAAGUAGUGGAGCAUGUGGUUUAAUUCGAAGAUACGCGCAGAACCUUACCAACACUUGACAUGUUCGUCGCGACUCUAAGAGAUUAGAGUUUUCGGUUCGGCCGGACGAAACACAGGUGCUGCAUGGCUGUCGUCAGCUCGUGUCGUGAGAUGUUGGGUUAAGUCCCGCAACGAGCGCAACCCUCACUUUUAGUUGCCAUCAUUAAGUUGGGCACUCUGAAAGAACUGCCAGUGAUAAGCUGGAGGAAGGUGGGGAUGACGUCAAGUCCUCAUGGCCCUUACGUGUUGGGCUACACACGUGCUACAAUGGUAUCUACAACAGGAAGCAAGACUGCGAAGUUAAGCAAAUCCCUAAAAGAUACCUCAGUUCGGAUUGCACUCUGCAACUCGAGUGCAUGAAGCUGGAAUUACUAGUAAUCGUGGAUCAGCGUGCCACGGUGAAUGCGUUCCCGGGUCUUGUACACACCGCCCGUCACACCAUGGGAGUUGGUUCUACCUUAAGGCAAGGUUUUAAACCCUUGACCACGGUAUAGUCAGCGACUGGGGUGAAGUCGUAACAAGGUAAC
RNAcentral lists this ribosomal RNA (849 nucleotides) under uncultured Alphaproteobacteria bacterium. Its description in RNAcentral is "bacterial SSU rRNA". It matches the Rfam family "Bacterial small subunit ribosomal RNA", at positions 640 to 1500 of the family's 1533-position model. Lineage: Bacteria; Pseudomonadati; Pseudomonadota; Alphaproteobacteria. The record is from RNAcentral.